GGCCCCGAAGAGAAAACGUAACAUACCUGUUGUUCACAUUGCAGAUCCUGUUGCAGAAGAUGAACCAUUCCAGUGUCCUGAUUGUACACUGAAGAUGUUAAUAUUUGUUUUAAAACAUAUUUCUUAACUGAUAAAUGAUCCAGUUGAACACGAUCAACAGUCAAGAUGUUCAGAGAGUGUAUCAGUCAUGAUCAUAGACCAGAUAUUUCAGUCAUUGAGAUACAGAAAUCAGUUAUCAAGGGGUACCAUGCUUACAAGAUUCGGCCACCAUAUACAGUACCUCCAAUGCGCUAAAGAGUUGUUGUAUCAUAGUUUGGGGACCUUUCUGUUGAAAAUGUGACAGAGUUAAAUCGUAUACAUAUACAUGCACAGUGCGUUAACUGGAGUGCAGGUAUUAGUUACCCGCACUCCAGAGCAUGCCCAUUGAUUGGUUCAUUUUGUCCGGGGUUUACAGUCAUAUUGUGACGACAGAGAAAGGGAAAGCGAUGGAAAUAUCCUAUUCAGAUGCUAGUUCAUUGGUUACUUUUUUGUGGGGUUUUAUAUUGUGUCGAUGCUCUUUCUAUUACAUAGAGAAUACACAAAUAUUAAAGACA
Molecule: long non-coding RNA, 593 nt
Organism: Ruditapes philippinarum (Manila clam)
Lineage: Eukaryota; Metazoa; Mollusca; Bivalvia; Venerida; Veneridae
Exons: 2
Source: RefSeq, a predicted model, not a curated record